This 495-nucleotide ribosomal RNA is filed under the name uncultured bacterium. RNAcentral describes it as "bacterial SSU rRNA". It matches the Rfam family "Bacterial small subunit ribosomal RNA", at positions 899 to 1397 of the family's 1533-position model. The record is from RNAcentral.
ACUCAAAGGAAUAGACGGGGGCCCGCACAAGCAGUGGAGUAUGUGGUUUAAUUCGAAGCAACGCGAAGAACCUUACCAGGGCUUGACAUCGUUGUGCAUAGCGUGGAAACACGUGAAACCCUUUGGGCACAACGACAGGUGGUGCAUGGUUGUCGUCAGCUCGUGUCGUGAGAUGUUGGGUUAAGUCCCGCAACGAGCGCAACCCCUGUUGUUAGUUGCUACAUUAAGUUGAGCACUCUAGCGAGACUGCCGGUGACAAAUCGGAGGAAGGUGGGGACGACGUCAAAUCAUCAUGCCCCUUAUGUCCUGGGCUACACACGUACUACAAUGGCCGUUAACAACGGGUCGCGAAGCCGCGAGGCGGAGCUAAUCCCCAAAAACGGUCCCAGUUCGGAUUGUAGGCUGCAACUCGCCUACAUGAAGUCGGAAUUGCUAGUAAUCGCGAAUCAGCAUGUCGCGGUGAAUACGUUCCCGGGCCUUGCACACACCGCCCGU